AUACAUUCAUAAUGGCAUCAUCCACUAAUAAAUUCAUUAAUAGAUUAACAAUGAUUCUUAAUGUUCACAUUAAAUAUUCACAUACAUAUAAUUAGACCUUGACUGUCAACGGAGUGACUCUGGGUACGAUUGAUAACACUUAGUGUCACAUUAAACCUAUCGAGUAAUGUACAGGGAGGAGCACCUCAUCCGAGGAUCCAAUCACCUUUGACUCAGGAAACCUAAAACAUGAAUUUUAAAAACGUGAGUAUAAACUCAGUGAGUGAACAUAAGAAGGGAACAAGCAUCAAUACGGGAGGUUUUACAAAUCAUGAUGCAUUUAUGUUGAAGACAAUGCAAUUUAACUCAAUUUCUUGUCACAACAGAAAUCUGUCUUUGCUGCGGUGAAAAUCAAGUGAAAACCGUUUCUCAAGUUUUAACAUUCAAAAAUCAAUGCAACCACAAUAUAAUUUCUAAAACCUCUAUAUAUAUAUAUAUAUAUAUCAUAUAUAAACAUAUAUAUAACCACUAGCCUCGCCCCCAACUUUGUCUCAGCUUAUGUGCACUACCACACGGUACAUAGCCGGGUCAGCACAGCUCAUGUGCACUCAUACACCGCACAUGGCUGGGUCAGCACAGCUCAUGUGCACUCCUACACCACACAUGGCUGGGUCAGCACAGCUCAUAUACACUCCUACACUGCACAUGGCUGGGUCAGCAUAGCUCAUGUGCACUCCUACACCGCACAUGGCUGGGUAAUAAUUAUCACACAAAAAUAUCAUUUAAUGUAUAAUAUACCUAUCAACAUAAUGUAGAAACUCAUGAAUUCAUCAUGUUCAUAUCUCAUAAUAUCAAAACAUUUCAUCAAGGGCUUAUUCCCAUGCAACUUUUAAAGAAAAACCAACAAAAUAUUUCAAGUGGCUCAAUCAAGCAUAAAAUCAUUUAUUCCAAAAUAUUUUAAUGCAAGUUCACUCACCUGGCAACAACGAGAUAUUAAGUUGCUAUUUGUUCAGAGGUGUCUCUAACUAUUUUCACUAGCCGGUCACUCGUUAUUUACUCCGGCAUGCCCCCACAAUACUCUAACUUUAUCUUUCCACUUUCUAGUAAUAAUACGAACUGUAUAUAUUUAAUUACAUAUGUAUACGAGCAGCACUUCAAUCAAUUAAUCCUUACUCAAAUUUAUAUUUUUCCUCCUAUCAUGAAACCAUCUUCAAUUAACUCACAUCUUAAUACAUUUUUACUAAAUUACUUAUAUCCAUUACUUACGUAAUUCCUUAAAUUAUAUCAUCGGCAACUUAAUUAUGAUGUCACGUGUCUACUUCAGUCUUUCUAAAUAAUUUUCACCAAAUCCCUCUUAUAUUUCCACACAUAAUCCACAUAUAUGGCAGCAACAAUCAUUCUCACUUUCACUCGAUUAUUUCCUAGUUUACACGCAUCGUUAUCUAUCUAACUUUCAAUACUUUGUUUCUCAAUCCUCCAUCCACAAUAUUCCUUUUUCAUUUCUUUCAAAUGACAUGCCAUACAAUCCUAACAAUUUUCAACUAGCUUAUGCAAGUAGAUCCUUUCAACAACCAUAAUUUCCCACAAUAUUCAACUAACCAUAGGCUUUAAAACAUAGUGCUAAGCUUAUCGUUUUCCUUUUCCACUUUGAGUCCUUCAUGUAUCCAUGGGUUUAUUGGCUUACAUGUUAUCAAUUUUUCUCCAAUCAAGCCAAUCGUUGCUGCCACAAGAGAUUUCUCUAAGUCACUAACUCAUUUUCAAAGACUACCCAAACCAAAAACAAGAAUUCUUACCGUUCCAUGCUUGAAUCACCAAAACCAAGCUUUUUUCUUCCUUUUUUUCUUUUUCUUUCUUCUUCUCCUAGAGUUUAUAUGUGCUGGAAAUUUGGGUUAGAAGUUGUAACUUUGGUGCACAAGAAGUUGGGAGAAGAAUGAAGCAAGAAGAGAAAAGAAAUGAAAAGAAAAUAAGGAAAGAAAAUGAAAGAAAAUUAGUUUUCCAUGGGAGAAUGAGAGAAUGGCAUUGGAAGCUUCAAGAAUGAAGAAGAAAA
Molecule: long non-coding RNA, 2026 nt
Filed under: Theobroma cacao (cacao)
Lineage: Eukaryota; Viridiplantae; Streptophyta; Magnoliopsida; Malvales; Malvaceae
Description: long non-coding RNA (TCAC_LNC004981)
Source: RNAcentral